Molecule: ribosomal RNA, 767 nt
Filed under: Lacticaseibacillus casei
Lineage: Bacteria; Bacillati; Bacillota; Bacilli; Lactobacillales; Lactobacillaceae
Description: bacterial SSU rRNA
Rfam family: Bacterial small subunit ribosomal RNA
Source: RNAcentral
UAUAACGGACGCUGAGGCUCGAAAGCAUGGGUUAGCGAACAAGGAUUUAGAUACCCCUGGUAGUCCCAUGCCGUAAACGAUGAAAUGGUUAGGUGUUGGAGGGGUUUCCGCCCUUUCAGUGCCGGCAGGCUAACGCAUUAAAGCAUUCCGCCUGGGGAGGUACGACCGCAAGGUUUGAAACUCAAAAGGAAUUGACGGGGGCCCGCACAAGCGGUGGAGCAUGUGGUUUAAUUUGAAGCAACGCGAAGAACCUUACCAGGUCUUGACAUCUUUUGAUCACCUGAGAGAUCAGGUUUCCCCUUCGGGGGCAAAAUGACAGGUGGUGCAUGGUUGUCGUCAGCUCGUGUCGUGAGAUGUUGGGUUAAGUCCCGCAACGAGCGCAACCCUUAUGACUAGUUGCCAGCAUUUAGUUGGGCACUCUAGUAAGACUGCCGGUGACAAACCGGAGGAAGGUGGGGAUGACGUCAAAUCAUCAUGCCCCUUAUGACCUGGGCUACACACGUGCUACAAUGGAUGGUACAACGAGUUGCAAGACCGCGAGGUCAAGCUAAUCUCUUAAAGCCAUUCUCAGUUCGGACUGUAGGCUGCAACUCGCCUACACGAAGUCGGAAUCGCUAGUAAUCGCGGAUCAGCACGCCGCGGUGAAUACGUUCCCGGGCCUUGUACACACCGCCCGUCACACCAUGAGAGUUUGUAACACCCGAAGCCGGGGGCGUAACCCUUUUAGGGAGCGAGCCGUCUAAGGGGGGACAAAUGAUUAGGUGAAG